GUGCCAAAGUGGGCGGGACCAAGACGAGCGAUUGGCGGAGCAAGUGGGAAGGCACCGCACCGAGGUGCCUCGCCGAGCUGAGAAACGGAUUUGGUCAGGAGUACGGGUGCAGAGUCGAGACUCCAGAUUGGAUGAUCUUCCGUGAAAACCUCUAUUCUGCGACGUAUGUCUUCCUCAUGGUCCGAUUGGCUCAUUCCCCCUCCCGUUGGUCUAGAGCGGACACUACAAACCGCGACCGGAUGUUCAGAUGAGAAAACCGAGGCACACAGCGAGGCGGCCCGGGGAACCAAGGGUUGGAGCAUCGCUGCCCGUCAUCUCAACCCGAGUGCUCCCUCCAGAUCUCUGCCGCCCCCCCUAAGGAACUCACAUCUGUCUUCACAUCGAUUUUGCCAGGUUUCAGGGUCUGGUCCUCACGUACAACACUACUGGGGAAAUAGCCCAGGCGAGCCGCCAGAUCUCCAUAGUAAUCUCCCUGAACCUGGAGGGGAAGAAUCAAAAGCCAGGGUCUGGGAAGAUGGCAAAUUGUUCCGGCUGAAGACCUUUGUACAUUUUUUCCUCCUGGUCUCCAGAUGGCCGGCUCCAUCCUUGUCACUCAGAUCUCAGCUUCAAGGCACUUGCGCGGAUGCCCUCCCUGACCACCCGAGGCAGUCACCCAGUCUGUACUAAUUCUCAAAGGAGCAUGUAUUUGCUGAUGUUUUUGAUGGUUUGAUCCCAAUAAAAGGGAUCAUCCGCUGCUCUUUC
This is a long non-coding RNA of Hyaena hyaena (striped hyena), 741 nucleotides long. RefSeq lists it as uncharacterized. The transcript has 3 exons. NCBI's taxonomy places the organism in Eukaryota, Metazoa, Chordata, Mammalia, Carnivora, Hyaenidae. The record is from RefSeq and is a predicted model, not a curated record.